AGAUUGCUUUGUCGUGGUAUACAACACGGCAUUAUUUGAAAAUUGUGUCGUGACCUAAAUUGUGUGAAUUGUGACAACACUAGUGUUUGAAAUUAUUUUGAUAAAAUGAUUUUGAAAAUAUGAAUGUUAGAUAAUGAUUUAUAAAUGGAUGAAUAUGAAGAACUCUUAUUACAUUUUUAGUGGUUUGUGUUUAUUUCAAGUAUUAAAUUAUAG
Molecule: unclassified non-coding RNA, 213 nt
Filed under: Hevea brasiliensis (rubber tree)
Lineage: Eukaryota; Viridiplantae; Streptophyta; Magnoliopsida; Malpighiales; Euphorbiaceae
Source: RNAcentral